UUUAGAAUGUUAAUGUUUUUGCCUGAGUAGUAUUAGUUAUGUUCUUGAAACUUAAAGAAUUUGGCGGUAUCUCAUUCCGUUCAGAGGAAUCUGUCUCGUUAUCGAUAGUCCGCGUUGGACCUUACUUAGUUGAAUUGGUUUGUAUACCGCCGUUUAUUGAUUAUCUUUUUAGGGUUUAUUAAUUUUCUGGUUUCUUUAUUUUGAUUUAUUUCAGGUCAAGGUGCAGCUUGUUUCUAAGUGGAAAAUGAUGGAUUACAUUGUUAUUUGUUUGUGGAUUGUUGAUUUUAAUAUUGAUAUGAAAUUGGAUUUGGUUGUAAUAAUUUGUAGAUUAUUAUUAUGAUAAUUGGUUCUGGGAUAUGU
This 360-nucleotide ribosomal RNA is filed under the name Velocitermes sp. IS148. Its description in RNAcentral is "partial 12S ribosomal RNA". The record is from RNAcentral. Lineage: Eukaryota; Metazoa; Arthropoda; Insecta; Blattodea; Termitidae.